This 267-nucleotide unclassified non-coding RNA is filed under the name rhizosphere metagenome. Its description in RNAcentral is "partial ribosomal RNA internal transcribed spacer region". The record is from RNAcentral.
GAAUGAACUUGGUGUGGUUGUUGCUGGCCCUUUCGGGGGCAUGUGCACACCCAUCAUCCUCAUCUCUCCACCUGUGCACCUCUUGUAGAUUUGGAUUGACUUUCCGAGGCAACUCGGUCGGGAGGACUUGCUGGCAUUAGCUGGCUUUCCUUGCAUUUCCAAGUCUAUGUUUUUCAUAUACCCCAUUGAAUGUAACAGAAUGUAACAUAUUGGGCCUUUGUGCCUAUAAAAACUUAUACAACUUUCAGCAACGGAUCUCUUGGCUCU